Molecule: ribosomal RNA, 346 nt
Filed under: uncultured bacterium
Lineage: Bacteria
Description: partial 16S ribosomal RNA
Rfam family: Bacterial small subunit ribosomal RNA
Source: RNAcentral
CCUACGGGUGGCAGCAGUGGGGAAUAUUGCGCAAUGGGCGAAAGCCUGAAGCAGCGAAGCCGCGUGAGGGAUGAAGGUCUUAGGAUCGUAAAACUCUGUCAGUAGGGAAGAAAGGUCACUGUGCUAAUCAGCAGUGAAUUGACGGUACCUGCAAAGGAAGCACAGGCUAACUCCGUGCCAGCAGCCGCGGUAAUACGGAGGGUGCGAGCGUUAAUCGGAUUUACUGGGCGUAAAGCGCUCGUAGGCGGUAUGUCAAGUCAAGGGUGAAAUCCCCGGGCUCAACGUGGGAACUGCCUUUGAAACUGGCAGACUGGAGUGUGUGAGAGGAUAGUGGAAUUCGAGGUGU